UGGGCGUAAAGCGCGCGUAGGCGGUUUGAUAAGCUGGAUGUGAAAGCCCCGGGCUCAACCUGGGAACUGCAUCCAGAACUGUCUGACUAGAAUACAAUAGAGGUGAGUGGAAUUUCCUGUGUAGCGGUGAAAUGCGUAGAUAUAGGAAGGAACAUCAGUGGCGAAGGCGACUCACUGGAUUGAUAUUGACGCUAAGGUGCGAAAGCGUGGGGAGCGAACAGGAUUAGAUACCCUGGUAGUCCACGCCGUAAACGAUGUCUACUAGCCGUUGGGAUCCUUGAGGUCUUAGUGGCGCAGCUAACGCAAUAAGUAGACCGCCUGGGGAGUACGGCCGCAAGGUUAAAACUCAAAUGAAUUGACGGGGGCCCGCACAAGCGGUGGAGCAUGUGGUUUAAUUCGAUGCAACGCGAAGAACCUUACCAGGUCUUGACAUCCCGAGAAGUCGCUAGAGAUAGCUUCGUGCCUUCGGGAACUCGGUGACAGGUGCUGCAUGGCU
RNAcentral lists this ribosomal RNA (496 nucleotides) under uncultured Gammaproteobacteria bacterium. Its description in RNAcentral is "bacterial SSU rRNA". It matches the Rfam family "Bacterial small subunit ribosomal RNA", at positions 555 to 1050 of the family's 1533-position model. The record is from RNAcentral. Lineage: Bacteria; Pseudomonadati; Pseudomonadota; Gammaproteobacteria.